GACGAACGCUGGCGGCGUGCUUAACACAUGCAAGUCGAACGGAAAGGCCCUGCUUUUGUGGGGUGCUCGAGUGGCGAACGGGUGAGUAACACGUGAGUAACCUGCACUUGACUUUGGGGUAAAUUCAGGAAAAAGGGGCUAAUACCGGGUAGGAGCUCCUGAUGCGUGGUGGGGGUUGGUGAGAUUCGGCGGUUUGGGCUGGAAUAGCGGCUUAUGAGCUUGUUGGUGGGGUAGGGGAUUACCAGGGGUUCGAAGGGUAGGCGGCCUGAGAGGGUGGCCGGCCACCUUGGGCCUGCGGUACGGCCCAGACGCCUACGUUCGGCAGCAGUGGGGAAUAUUGCGCAGUGGGCCGACGCCUGAUGCGGCAACGCCGCGUUCGUAAUGCCGUCCUACGGGUUGUAAACCGCUUUCUCCUUUGCCGAAGCCUUAUUGACGGUAAUGGGUAAGGAAGCCCCGGCUAACUACGUG
Molecule: ribosomal RNA, 468 nt
Filed under: uncultured bacterium
Lineage: Bacteria
Description: partial 16S ribosomal RNA
Rfam family: Bacterial small subunit ribosomal RNA
Source: RNAcentral